This 1044-nucleotide ribosomal RNA is filed under the name Herpomyces sp. Its description in RNAcentral is "SSU rRNA". It matches the Rfam family "Eukaryotic small subunit ribosomal RNA", at positions 86 to 1142 of the family's 1831-position model. The record is from RNAcentral. Lineage: Eukaryota; Fungi; Ascomycota; Laboulbeniomycetes; Herpomycetales; Herpomycetaceae.
ACUGCGAAUGGCUCAUUAAAUCAGUUAUCGUUUAUUUGAUAGUUCUCACUACUUGGAUAACCGUGGUAAUUCUAGAGCUAAUACAUGCAAAAAACCUCGAUGGAUAAUCGAGGUGUAUUUAUUAGAUAAAAAACCAACGCCUUCGGGCUCUUCGGUGAUUCAUAAUAACUUAGCGUAGCGCAUGACCUUGUGUCGGCGCAAGAUCAUUCAAAUAUCUGCCCUAUCAAGUUUCGAUGUGAGGGUAGUGUCCUCACAUGCUUUUGACGGGUAACGGGGAAUUAGGGUUCGACUCCGGAGAGGGAGCCUGAGAAACGGCUACCACAUCCAAGGAAGGCAGCAGGCGCGCAAAUUACCCAAUCCCGACACGGGGAGGUAGUGACAAGAAAUACCGAUUCAGGGCCUUUUUAGGUCUUGUCAUUGGAAUGAGUACAAUUUAAACCCAUUAACGAGGAACAACUGGAGGGCAAGUCUGGUGCCAGCAGCCGCGGUAAUUCCAGCUCCGGUAGCGUAUAUUAAAAUUGUUGCAGUUAAAAAGCUCGUAGUUGAACUUUGGUUUUGACUGACUGGUCCGCCUCAUCGCGUGUACUGGUUCGGUCGGGACUUUCCCCUUGGGGAACCCCAUGCCCUUUACUGGGCGUGGCGGGGAACCAGGACUUUUACUUUGAAAAAAUUAGAGUGUUCAAAGCAGGCCUUUGCUCGGAUACAUUAGCAUGGAAUAAUAGAAUAGGACGAGUGGUUCUAUUUUGUUGGUUUCUAGAACCACCGUAAUGAUUAAUAGGGAUAGUUGGGGGCAUCAGUAUUCAAUUGUCAGAGGUGAAAUUCUUGGAUUUAUUGAAGACUAACUACUGCGAAAGCAUUUGCCAAGGAUGUUUUCAUUAAUCAGGAACGAAAGUUAGGGGAUCCAAGACGAUCAGAUACCGUCGUAGUCUUAACCGUAAACUAUGCCGACUAGGGAUCGGGUGGUGUUUUUUUAUGACUCACUCGGCACCUUACGAGAAAUCAAAGUGCUUGGGUUCUGGGGGGAGUAUGGUCGCAAGGCUGAAA